UUUGCAAAAUGAAUCAUUCUUGCAAAUCAAUUUUUGGGCCAUGAUUAUGGGAAGUCGAAUCCAUACAAGUCUUAUGGAGGUAUGUCCAUGUCUUUGAGGUCAUCUUUGUUGAGUUUGCACUUCUAGCCUUUCUUGGCCACAUAGGUCAUUUUUGCAAGAAUAACCCAAUUAUGCGUUGCAUAUGUCCAAUAGGAGAUUCCAUGUGUCUUGAGUCACU
Molecule: long non-coding RNA, 217 nt
Filed under: Nicotiana benthamiana
Lineage: Eukaryota; Viridiplantae; Streptophyta; Magnoliopsida; Solanales; Solanaceae
Description: long non-coding RNA (NBEN_LNC009345)
Source: RNAcentral